AGCAACAAAUGCCCUGCUUCCAGGAAAAGCCUCUAAGCAUCAGGUAACAUCAAAUCGUACCCCAAACCGACACAGGUGGUCAGGUAGAGAAUACCAAGGCGCUUGAGAGAACUCGGGUGAAGGAACUAGGCAAAAUGGUGCCGUAACUUCGGGAGAAGGCACGCUGAUAUGUAGGUGAAGUCCCUCGCGGAUGGAGCUGAAAUCAGUCGAAGAUACCAGCUGGCUGCAACUGUUUAUUAAAAACACAGCACUGUGCAAACACGAAAGUGGACGUAUACGGUGUGACGCCUGCCCGGUGCCGGAAGGUUAAUUGAUGGGGUCAGCGCAAGCGAAGCUCUUGAUCGAAGCCCCGGUAAACGGCGGCCGUAACUAUAACGGUCCUAAGGUAGCGAAAUUCCUUGUCGGGUAAGUUCCGACCUGCACGAAUGGCGUAAUGAUGGCCAGGCUGUCUCCACCCGAGACUCAGUGAAAUUGAACUCGCUGUGAAGAUGCAGUGUACCCGCGGCAAGACGGAAAGACCCCGUGAACCUUUACUAUAGCUUGACACUGAACAUUGAGCCUUGAUGUGUAGGAUAGGUGGGAGGCUUUGAAGUGUGGACGCCAGUCUGCAUGGAGCCGACCUUGAAAUACCACCCUUUAAUGUUUGAUGUUCUAACGUGGACCCGUGAUCCGGGUUGCGGACAGUGUCUGGUGGGUAGUUUGACUGGGGCGGUCUCCUCCUAAAGAGUAACGGAGGAGCACGAAGGUUGGCUAAUCCUGGUCGGACAUCAGGAGGUUAGUGCAAUGGCAUAAGCCAGCUUGACUGCGAGCGUGACGGCGCGAGCAGGUGCGAAAGCAGGUCAUAGUGAUCCGGUGGUUCUGAAUGGAAGGGCCAUCGCUCAACGGAUAAAAGGUACUCCGGGGAUAACAGGCUGAUACCGCCCAAGAGUUCAUAUCGACGGCGGUGUUUGGCACCUCGAUGUCGGCUCAUCACAUCCUGGGGCUGAAGUAGGUCCCAAGGGUAUGGCUGUUCGCCAUUUAAAGUGGUACGCGAGCUGGGUUUAGAACGUCGUGAGACAGUUCGGUCCCUAUCUGCCGUGGGCGCUGGAGAACUGAGGGGGGCUGCUCCUAGUACGAGAGGACCGGAGUGGACGCAUCACUGGUGUUCGGGUUGUCAUGCCAAUGGCACUGCCCGGUAGCUAAAUGCGGAAGAGAUAAGUGCUGAAAGCAUCUAAGCACGAAACUUGCCCCGAGAUGAGUUCUCCCUGACCCUUUAAGGGUCCUGAAGGAACGUUGAAGACGACGACGUUGAUAGGCCGGGUGUGUAAGCGCAGCGAUGCGUUGAGCUAACCGGUACUAAUGAACCGUGAGGCUUAACCUUACAACGCCGAAGGUGUUU
Molecule: ribosomal RNA, 1378 nt
Filed under: Escherichia coli O157
Lineage: Bacteria; Pseudomonadati; Pseudomonadota; Gammaproteobacteria; Enterobacterales; Enterobacteriaceae
Description: partial 23S ribosomal RNA
Rfam family: Bacterial large subunit ribosomal RNA
Source: RNAcentral